RNAcentral lists this ribosomal RNA (891 nucleotides) under uncultured euryarchaeote. Its description in RNAcentral is "bacterial SSU rRNA". It matches the Rfam family "Archaeal small subunit ribosomal RNA", at positions 85 to 882 of the family's 1478-position model. Lineage: Archaea; Methanobacteriati; Methanobacteriota. The record is from RNAcentral.
ACUGCUCAGUAACACGUCAAUAAUCUGCUCUUAGGUCUGGGAUAACCUUGGUAAACUGAGGCUAAGACCGGAUAGGAAAAACAAAUUGGAAAAUGGUUUUUCUUAAAGGCAACGCCUAAGAAUGAGUUGGCGGCGGAUUAGGUAGUUGGUGGUGUAAAGGACCACCAAGCCGACGAUCCGUAGGGGCCUUGAGAGAGGUAGCCUCGAGAAGGGCACUGAGACACUGGCCCUAGCCCUACGGGGUGCAGCAGGCGCGAAAACUUUACAAUGUACGCAAGUGUGAUAAGGGAACCCAAAGUGCUCAAGUUUUUACUUGGGCUUUUGCCAAAUCUAAAUAGUUUGGCGAAUAAGUGGUGGGUAAGACGGGUGCCAGCCGCCGCGGUAACACCUGCGCCACAAGUGGGAAUCACAAUUAUUGGGCCUAAAGCGUCCGUAGCCGGUUAAGUAAAUCCUUUGUGAAAUCAUCAGGCUUAACCUGAUGGUGUGCAGGGGACACUGCUCAACUCGGAACUGGGAGGAGCUGAAAGUAUGCUGGGGGGAGCGGUAAAAUGCUAUAAUCCCCAGUAGACUACCCGUGGCGAAGGCGUUCAGCUAGAACAGAUUCGACGGUGAGGGACGAAAGCCAGGGGAGCGAACCGGAUUAGAUAUCGAAAACUCCGUUUUCGGAAAUUAGUCUCAUUAUUUGUUCGUUGAUAAUAAAUACUGAAUAAUGUGAUAUUAACAUCGGAGUUAAUUCGACUAAGUACCCGAGUAGUCCUGGCUGUAAACUCUGCGAGCUAGGUGUCGCGUAUCCGUUAGGAUACGCGGUGUCGAAGAGAAGUCGUUUAGCUCGCCGCCUGGGAAAUAUGGUCGCAAGACUGAAACUUAAAGGAAUUGGCGGGGGAGCACAAU